Molecule: transfer RNA, 85 nt
Filed under: Gigaspora margarita
Lineage: Eukaryota; Fungi; Glomeromycota; Glomeromycetes; Diversisporales; Gigasporaceae
Also listed under: 1 other name
Rfam family: tRNA
About the family: Transfer RNA (tRNA) molecules are approximately 80 nucleotides in length. Their secondary structure includes four short double-helical elements and three loops (D, anti-codon, and T loops). Further hydrogen bonds mediate the characteristic L-shaped molecular structure. tRNAs have two regions of fundamental functional importance: the anti-codon, which is responsible for specific mRNA codon recognition, and the 3' end, to which the tRNAs corresponding amino acid is attached (by aminoacyl-tRNA synthetases). tRNAs cope with the degeneracy of the genetic code in two manners: having more than one tRNA (with a specific anti-codon) for a particular amino acid; and 'wobble' base-pairing, i.e. permitting non-standard base-pairing at the 3rd anti-codon position.
Source: Rfam by way of RNAcentral
GCCUUCUUGGCUCAGUUGGCAGAGCGUCUGCCUAGUAGGUUAACUUGAAAGCAGAAGGUCGGCGGUUCGAUUCCGCCAGAAGGCA